RNAcentral lists this transfer RNA (69 nucleotides) under Marmota monax (woodchuck). RNAcentral describes it as "tRNA.Ala". Lineage: Eukaryota; Metazoa; Chordata; Mammalia; Rodentia; Sciuridae. The record is from RNAcentral.
GGAAUGUGGCUCAAGUGGUAAUGUGCUUGCCUGGCAUGCGUGAGGCACUGGGUUCGACCCUCAGCACCA